AUAUUAUGAAGUCCAGUCGCCU
RNAcentral lists this non-coding RNA (22 nucleotides) under Arabidopsis thaliana (thale cress). The record is from RNAcentral. Lineage: Eukaryota; Viridiplantae; Streptophyta; Magnoliopsida; Brassicales; Brassicaceae.